GAAUAUUGGACAAUGGGCGAAAGCCUGAUCCAGCAAUGCCGCGUGUGUGAAGAAGGCCUUCGGGUUGUAAAGCACUUUCAGUGGGGAGGAAGGGUUCAAUGCUAAUAUCAUUGAACAUUGACGCUACCCACAGAAGAAGCCCCGGCUAACUCUGUUCCAGCAGCCGCGGUAAUACAGAGGGUGCAAGCGUUAAUCGGAAUUACUGGGCGUAAAGCGUGUGUAGGUGGUUAAGUAAGUUAGAUGUGAAAUCCCUGGGCUCAACCUAGGAGUUGCGUUUAAAACUGCUUAGCUAGAGUAUUGUAGAGGAUAGUGGAAUUUCCAGUGUAGCGGUGAAAUGCGUAGAUAUUGGAAGGAACGCCAGUGGCGAAGGCGGCUAUCUGGACAAAUACUGACACUGAGACACGAAAGCGUGGGGAGCAAACAGG
RNAcentral lists this ribosomal RNA (425 nucleotides) under uncultured bacterium. RNAcentral describes it as "bacterial SSU rRNA". It matches the Rfam family "Bacterial small subunit ribosomal RNA", at positions 359 to 776 of the family's 1533-position model. The record is from RNAcentral.